This 376-nucleotide transfer-messenger RNA is filed under the name Bacillota bacterium. It matches the Rfam family "transfer-messenger RNA". From Rfam's summary of the family: Bacterial tmRNA, also known as 10Sa RNA or SsrA, is named for its dual tRNA and mRNA-like properties. Its role is to liberate the mRNA from a stalled ribosome. To accomplish this part of the tmRNA is used as a reading frame that ends in a translation stop signal. The record is from RNAcentral. Lineage: Bacteria; Bacillati; Bacillota.
GGGGGCGUAAAGGUUUCGACGGGGGUGUUUAAGCCUGGUAAGCGAGCCGUAGUUGGUCCAGUCUACGUUAAACAGAACUCGUUAAAAAGAAACGCUAAAACAGAAAACACAUUCGCAUUCGCAGCUUAGUCUGCACUAGCGCCCAAUUUGGCGCACGCGCGUCGGCCUGAAUUAACCCACAGGUUCAGAUCCCGGCGUCGACUAUGUGGGAAAACCGUCUUAAAGUUCUCGGUAUAAGGCGGGACUAACGAGAUAGGUAUUUAAAAGUCGUGCCGGUGGGCCUUUUAAAUACCGAAAUACGAACUGCCGGAUGCGCUCGGAGAAAGCUACGCAGCGAUGCUUUCGGACAAGGGUUCAAUUCCCUUCGCCUUCACCA